RNA transcript from Capra hircus (goat), 952 nucleotides. It is a transcript of the gene named ADP-ribosylation factor-like protein 6-interacting protein 1 pseudogene, with no coding region annotated. The record is from RefSeq and is a predicted model, not a curated record. Lineage: Eukaryota; Metazoa; Chordata; Mammalia; Artiodactyla; Bovidae. The transcript has a single exon.
AGGGGUGCGGCGAGGGAGUCUGGAGGGUUUGUUUUGGUUUCCUCCUGUGCUCGCUGAGACGGCACACCUCGAGAACUAUGGCGGAAGGAGAUAAUCGCAGCACCAAUCUGCUGGCUGCAGAGACUGCAAGUCUGGAAGAGCAGCUGCAAGGAUGGGGAGAAGUGAUGCUGAUGGCAGAUAAAAUCCUCCGAUGGGAAAGAGCCUGGUUUCCACCUGCCAUCAUGGGUGUGGUUUCUUUGGUGUUUCUGACUAUCUACUGUCUAGAUCCAUCUGUUCUAUCUGGUGUUUCCUGUUUUGUUAUGUUUUUGUGCUUGGCUGACUACCUUGUUCCCAUUCUAGCACCUAGAAUUUUUGGCUCCAAUAAAUGGACCACCGAGCAACAGCAAAGAUUCCAUGAAAUUUGCAGCAAUCUAGUGAAAACUCGACGCAGAGCUGUGGGCUGGUGGAAACGCCUCUUUACACUAAAGGAAGAAAAGCCUAAAAUGUACUUCAUGACCAUGAUCAUUUCUCUUGCUGCGGUUGCUUGGGUGGGACAGCAAGUCCACAACCUCCUUCUCACCUACCUGAUAGUGACUUUCUUACUUUUGCUUCCUGGAUUGAACCAACAUGGGAUCAUUUCGAAAUACAUUGGAAUGGCCAAAAGAGAGAUGAACAAGCUUCUCAAACAAAAAGAAAAGAAAAAUGAAUAAAGCAUUCGCUUUAUUCGGUGUGAUUAAUGGAGUAUACACUGUCCUUGGGAACAGUGUCUGUUAUGCUGUUUGGAUACUAAAAUGUUGCAGAAGUAGCUCUCUGCUGUCCCUCACUCUGCCCUUAGUACAAAUUCUGACUUGCUAAGCAAGGCUUUAUGCCCAGUGUCUUCAUGGGUGUGUUUUUAGCAGCUGCCCUUAUAUGGACAACUCUUUCUUCAGUUCCUCAUCUUGUUUUGUUGUCACCCAGGGUUAACUAAACUCUU